UCCUAACUGGGCUGGAGGGGAGGGACCUCCUCAAGGGAACUUCUGAUGGAAUGGUCCUGCAGUCUUCUGUGAAUUCCUUAAUCUCAGAGUGCCUGAAUCAGGCUAGGCCAGUUCAGCCCUCACCUUGCUUAUCCAUCCUGUGAUGUGUGCUCAUGUGUGCAUGUGUGUGUAUGUGCUUUCUUUUACCUUCUCGCCAUCUGCAAUCCAGGCUUCAUCACCUGGAGUGGUAGUGGUAAACUAACUAACCAACUAUCACAUAUUAAGAUUUAUGCUAAUAAAAUGAUUGCUCAGAGAGAAUCUUAUUUUCCUUUUGAAAUUACUUUUUUUUUCUAAGCCUUGGGGCUAUGUUAACUGGAAUGCAGCAGGACCCCACUAUACUUUUAGAGAGAAUAAAGAUGAAGCCUCAGGAUAGAACUAUCCUUAACACUGGUACCUGUGGCUGUGGUGCUCUUCAUGUGCCUUUGAGGAAAGUUUUGCAAAUUGCUUGCUGUGUGGGGCCAGAGACCCGAAGUCUCCACCGUGAAAACUCCUGGUGCUUAAUUCAUAUUUGUAGAUUGCUAGAUGUGCAAUUAAUUAAAAACUGCUAUUAGUUGCUUCCAUGGAAACUUGCUGGGGUACCCUGGAGUACCUCAUAAAUGAAGCUAGGUCUUGUAUGAGUUAUACAAUUGUAUAUGUGUGUAUUUCUUUAAAUCUCAAAUGCAGGACUAAUAUUUCCAAAUUCAUUUUUCUGUCUUUAAUCUACACUUUCAUGCUUUUUCUAUAGCAGUGGUAUUUAUAUGUAAAAAUAGUCCAAGACCAGUGUAGAAGUCAGUAAUUUUGUUGACUUUAUCAUCAGAAAAUGCUCUGAUCUGGAGUCCAGAUUCUAAAUAAUGAGUAACAUUAGGAAGAUAAAAGGAAUUCCAUUCAUUUCUUGCCCCUUUCCUUAACUUUAUUAGCAGCUACUUGAUAGGCUUUAAUGUGAACCACUGACUCUGGGGCCUGUGUACAUUCUGUGAUACUUCCACUGCGUAUCCAGGAUCUGAGUGGUGGGAAAGGGAGCCUGGAGUACUGCUGGUGGGAAUGUGAAAUAUCGCGGCUACUGUGGAAAGCAGCAUGGGGCUUCCUUAAAAAUUAAAAGUAGGAGUACUGGCUAGUUUUGUAUCAACUUGACACAGCUGGAGUUAUCACAGAGAAAGGAGCUUCAGUUGAGGAAACGCCUCCAUGAGAUACAACUGUCAGGCAUUUCCUCAAUUAGUGAUCAAGGGGGAAAGACCCCUUGUGGUGAGACCAUCUCUGGGCUGGUAGUCUUGGUUCUAUAAGAGAGCAGGCUGAGCAGCCAGGGGAAGCAAGCCAGUAAAGAACAUCCCUCCAUGGCCUCUGUAUCAGCUCCUGCUCCCUGACCUGCUUGAGUUCCAGUCCUGACUUCUUUCAGUGAUGAACAGCAAUGUGGAAAUGUAAGCUGAAUAAACCCUUUCCUCCCCAACUUGCUUCUUGGUCAUGAUGUUUUGUCCAGGAAUAGAAACCCUGACUAAGACAGUAGGACUACCACCUGAGCCAACAGCUUCCCUUUUGGGUGUUCUGGGGAAAUCAGUAUGACAGAGAGAUGAGAAACUCCAUGUUCACUGCAGUGCUAGUCACAGUAGCCAGGAGACCGAGACAGCCUAAGUGUCCAUCACUGAUUAUUGGAUAAAAAGAAGUCUCACAUAUUCACACACAGCGAAGUGCUUUUUAUCCAUUAAAAAUUAAAUUCUGUCAUCUCUGACAGCAUGGAUAGCCUGGCAAUCACUAUGCUCAGUGAAGUAAGCCAGGAGCAGGGAAACAUGUGCUAUGUGGCCUUGCUCAUAUGUGAAAUAUAGAUUAUUAUAUAUUUGUGAGUGUGAUUUGAAUGUGAAACAUGCCCCCACUGGCUUAUGUCAUUGGACACUUGGUCCCCAGCUUGUGACACUGCUUGAGAGCCCUGUGGAGUCCCUAUGAUAUAGAGCCUUGCUGGAGGAAGUGUAUUGCUGGGGGUGGGCUUUGGGAUUGUUUGGCCUGACCACCCCUCCUGUUCACUCUCUGCUUUCCCUCACUGCUGGUGCAGUGUGAUGGCUUGGCCACACACUCCUCCUGCUGUGCAUUUCUCACCAUACUGGACUGUGUCCCCUCUGAAACUGUAAGCCAUAUGUAAUACUCCCCCCCCCCCACACACACACCUUAAAGUUGAUUGGGUCAGAGUAUUUUAUUGUAAUAACAAAAAUGAAACAACACACACAUUCACUCACAAACAUUCACUCUCUCUCACACACAUUCACACAGUCAUACAUACACUCAUACACACACACUCACACAAUACACUCUCACACACUUCUCUCUCUCUCUCAACUGUGAUGGGGAACACUAGGCACUAGGUCACAGUCAAGUGGGAUAAGAAGUUCUGAGGUGCUAUGUGCACAGUAGGGUGACUAUAGAUUGGGAUUGUAACCUCUACUUCAGAAAGCCAGAGGACAAAUUUGGAGUGUUUUCACUGUUAAGAACUAUCUAUUGGAACUAGAUGUGUUUAGCCUGGUUAUGAAGUGUAACCAUGUAUCCAAAUAGCCCUUGAUAGCCUAUGGACACAGGCAACUUUGUAUUUUUAUGUAUCUAAUUAAAACUUUAAGCUUUAAAAAGAAUUUUUAUGAUAUCAUUGAGGGUGGUUAAAAUGAUUCUGGGCUUUGGCGUGAGAUCUACCUGGACCAGCGCAUGGAUGGAGUAGACUCUGCAAACAGAAUACUAGAAUUCGCUCACAAAUAUGGUUUUGUGUCUUCAAAUAGCCUUCUAUUGAAGGAAAUUGAGUUCACUUGAAAUGGUUUGGAUCAGGGUGUGAAUAGCUAUGAGGAAGAAUGGUGUCUUUGUAAACCCAAACUUAGAAAUGCCACAGCUUCAAAGGCUCUCCUGCCUUGUGGUUGCACCAAUGCCAGGCAGAGCAGCCCUCAGCCCUCGGUGACCUGCCCAUCAGCCCAACAAGUCCUCUCAGGGAGGAAUGCCCUCUGUACAGAGUGAAGAGGUUUUUCCCCAUGUGUGACCUGAUUGUCUUUGGGGAGGGGCUUGGCAGAGCUUGGGGAAGGCAGAACCCUGCCUAUAGACACAGGUUAAACCAUUCCUCUGGGUCAGUGGUAAUGUUAUUAACCCCUUCUACCUCCCAAAAGUAAAGAAGUUUAGGAGCUGGCAGUAAACAUCCAUUUGGCUCUUUAGAACUAUGGUAACCUCUCAUUGCAGAAGACCUUCCACACCCAGAGGAUAAAGAUAGCAAAGCCCAUGGACUUUCAUGCCUUGUGAGCGAUUGAGUGCAAGAGAAGCUGGACCAGGCCUGCAGAGCCUCAGCCUGCUGGUCCCCUGGUAUUUGUGGCCACACAGGACCAUAUAUUCCAAUGAUAAUCACAUUUUAUCAGAACCCACUAAGAAGUAGGGAGUGCAGGGACUGGGGCAAGGCUGCAGUAGAUGAUGUAUUUGCUGUGCAAGCACGAAGACCUGGAUUUAGAUCCCCUGCAUCCCAGAAACAGCUGAGCAUGAAAACACACAUCUGUAAUUCCAGUAUUGGAGAGGUGGAGACAGGUGGGUCCCUGCAGCUCACUGGCCAGGCAACAGAGCCACAUGAUGAGCUUUGGGUUCACUGAGAGACACCACCAAAAAAAUAGGAUGGAGAGCAAAUGAUGGCGACUCUUGACACUGACCUCUGGCCUCCAUAUUUAUACAUGGGGUAUACACAUGUACCUGCACCUGCAUGUGUGUACACACUUUGUGUACACACAAAGCAGGGAGAGCAUAACUUAUAUAUACGAGGAUUCAUCCUAUGAAGGUUGGUGCUUAGUUGGAUUUGGUUGGCUAGAGUACACCAUUUUAGUCUGAGUUGGGCAUAUGAGGUGACAUUUAAUACUAGGUAGCAUAUGUUUCAUUUUCAAGAGGAAAGAUUUCUGCUUGGGGUGGUAGGAGACCUAGGGUAAUAGCAACAGCGACAAUCAGGGAUGGUAGUAUGCGUGCCUGUCAGGUACUCUGUUCCCCCCCCCCCCCCCCGUGGUUCUAAGGAACUUACAAACAUGAAUGCGUCCCGUCCUUAAGUCCUUAAGAAAGGAGCUUGGGAAGCGUUCUCAGUCUUGGUUCACAGGCGAAGAAGCACAGGUGGCCUGCUGACUUCGACCAUUACCAAGCAGCAAGCUGGGACCCGGGCCUGGGAGCUGGCUAGGACUCACCUCUCUCCCAUCAGUUGCUCUGGGGCCCGCUGCUGGGACUCCUGAAACCUUCAUAAUGGAGGAUGCUACAGAGUCAUAAAAUCCCAGGAGUGUUUUGGAAAAUGACAUAAGGCUAUCAUUAAGGUUAUUGACAGUGGCCAUUUGCAUUCUUUUUCCAUAAAAAGACCACUAUACACCCCUUUCCUAUAGAGUAGAAGGAGAUGGGAGAGAGUCUCGGGUUGAAGAGUGAACUUUCCUAUAAAGAAGAGUCACGUCCACUUUGGGGGAGCGUACUCCCCAGAUGUUCAUUUUGCAAAUAUGCCUUGGCUGCCCAGUGAGUGUCCCGUGGAGAAGACAGACCUAGUCCCUACCAUGGGGAAUUUGCAUUCCAGUGGCCCAGACAGUCAUUUACAAAGUAAACCUAAAAACUAGAUAAUUGCACACUUGCUGAGAAUUUGGAAGGACAUGAGCACAGCCUGAGGAAAGAGAAGGAAAGUUGUGGGGCGGGCAUCCUGCCAGGAAGGCUUUCCCAGGAGGUGAGGACACAGAGGCGUGGGGCGGGGCAAGGCGGAUGUGACUAUGCGAGCAGGGAGGGCGGAGUCUGAGGAGGGAGGUCCUGCUGCUGGGGAGUCCUGAAGCUCCAGGUGAAGGGAGGCUUCAGAGGGCUGUCCUGGUGCCAGGCAGCCGGAGGCCAGGAGAAGCUUUGCUUUUGCUGGAGGUCCAAGGGGGAAGUCAUGUAGACAUUUGAAGCUAGAGCGUGAGCUGAUGCUAUUAUUCUAAAUAACUGUGUGCCCUGGGGUUAGGUGGCUGGAAGCCUAUUGUAGGAGAGGCCAAGGACUACAGAGAUAGGAUUAGGGCUGACAUUGGGAGACCCCAGAGAACUGAGGACUCCGGAAGGCAGGGAGGCCUUGCACACAACAACUCAAGGAGACAGUGAGCAGACAGCAUGAGCAGACAGACAGCAAGCUGACACUCCCUCCCUGAAAGGAAAGGAUGGGUUUAUCCAUCUCUCCCUGCCCCCACAUACACACACAUGAUGCCUGGGCCCCCCCCCCACUGGCAGACCAAGGUUGCCCUCUAUCAUAGCCCCCCUAGGCUGGCCAGGGCAGUGCAGUAUGUAGGAGGAGGGGGAAGGAAGCCCAUCUAGUGGGACCAGGUUGUUUCUCGAAGUAAGGUGGACGUAUGAGGCGGGCUUCCUGACAGAGAACUCUCUCAGGAGGAGAAGGCACUGCACUUGAGAGAAAGCUGAGGGUGUGCUCUCUUCAGGACUGGCAUCCCAGGACCUUGCAACCUCUGUUCUCUCUCUGUCUCUCUGUCUCUGUCUCCCUUCUUCCUCUUCUUCCUCCUCCCCCUCCUUCUCCUGUUCUCCUCUCCUUGUUUUGUUUAUUGAGGCAGGGUGUCUCUCUGUAACCCUGGCUGUCCUGGAACUAGCUUUGUAGACCAGGCUGGCCUCAAACUCAGAGAUCUACCUGCCUCUGCCCUCCCAUCCCCAACCCCCAACCCCCAUCCCCAUUUCAGUGCUGGGAUUAAAGGCAUGCAUCACCGCCACCCACCUGACCCCUGUAUUUUCAUCUGUAAAACCAGCCACCGUCCUUCCAGGUGUGUCUGCUGUGAGCCUAUUACAGUGUGUUGUUGAAUCUAACAUAGCUUGUAGUCCCCGAGUCUUUAUGCUGUUUUCCGACAGUGGGGCCACUGUCCCUCCCAAGUCAUCUCCAUCCAGCAGUUUCUAAGCUGGGGAAGGGCAAUGGUAGAAGGCAAGGAGUCCCAUAGUGGACAUCUUACCCAGGGCAUCUGUGUCUCAGAGGCUGUCUCAUGCCUUGUGAAUCUGAGGCUUGAUCUUUUCUGUCUUAGCUUCUAAACUCCUGGGUUCCUUUAAAUUCCCCUGCCUUUUGAGACCUUAUAAAGUUCUCACCAACUGCAUGUGCUAUCUCUCCUCUCUUCUCCCUAUCUGAACGUGGAGAGCAUCCUGGGAGGGUAUAAGGAGGAUGGACUAUCUCUCAGCAACCAAGAUAAAGGGUGGGUGAGAAAGGCAAAUCAGAAAGAAUAUAGGAAAUCCAAAUGAAUGCAAUUACAAGUGAGUGGCUUCAGGAAUUACCUUACAGAUUGUAACUGAAUACCUCUGAAAUAAGGCAGAGGGACAGUCCUGUAAACACCCAGUCUCCUGGUCAUGAUGUGAUGGUAAAGACUUCUCCUGCCUUUCACCAAGGACAGAGGUGCCAGGUUCUCACAUUCAAGGAGCUGUUCUAAGGGCUGGGCUCCUGAGUGGGCUUUCCAAGUCCUGACAUUUCUAGAAAAGUCUGUGAGUGGCAAAUUGACCAAGACUGCCUCUACAGGCAGACUGAGGGAGGAUGCCCAAAGGCAGCCAUUUUACAGUGAAGGAGUCAAGGUGAGGGCUGUCCUGAGAGGACCCUGCAUGGGAGCGCCUGCCAGCACUCAACAAGGCAGCUCCACUGUGCUUAUGUGUGCAGUUCAGUGCCGCCCUGCUCAGCUCUUCUCAUGUUUUUAAAAUCUCGUAAGUGCUUUCAGCGAAUCACUUGAUGCUUUCUAUUACCCAGGAGACAUCUGGCAGGCUCUUACAAAGUAAAACACACACAGCACACGAGUCAGCAUUUCUCCAGGAUACAUGCACAUGCACAGUGGCACAAGGUUUGCAGAGAGAUGUCCACAGGAGUUUUAUUCAUGAUGGUUCAAACGUGGAAACGUCUGGAUCGGAACCCACCAGGGGACACCAAGCAACUUUCAGGGCAUACAAAUGAAGAAAUACUGCUCAGUGAUAAAGAGGAGAAAAACCAAGGACAUACACAAAGACAUGCCUGGCCUACCAGAGAGCCAUGCUGAAAACAGCCCCUCAGGAGAGUGCGUACUGUGUGUUCCCAGUUAGGGGCAAAACUAACCUAUCUGGGCAGGGAGCCAGAUGGGGUUGGUUGCCUUAGGGUGGCCUGAGGGGAAUUAAAAGCAAGGAGAAACCAAAGGGGGGGGAUUUUUCUGGGGUCAUGGAAAUAGUAAUAUCCAUAUGGAAUUGAUAUUUAUAUUUCUUAAUUAGGGUAAUGGAUGAAUAAGUAUAGACAUUUAUCAAAAACUACCCAGCUGUUUGAUGUAUUUUUACUGUGUAUAUGAAUAUAUUAUACCUCAAUAGAGUUGGUUCUUAUGAAAACUUUACAAGUUUUUAUUUUAAAAACUAUUCUCAGUGCAGAGGGACUGUUUGUUGGCAUUCUUGGGCCAAACAUCCAUUUGGCAAGGUUUUGAAUUUCGUGGAUUUGAGGUUUUUGUGCUUUUGCAAGUUGUACCUUCUUGCAAUUUCCCACUAACCCUUUAGUAACUCACUGAAAUUUUCCAUUGAUUGACUUAAUUGUCAAAUAAUGAAAAUAUUCCUUGAACAUCAAUUUUGUUCAAGGUGAUAUUGUUUUGAACUCCAGUUGUUUUCACAGGCUGGCUGAGGCCAGCCCCUAAGGAAGCCUGAUCACUGCUAACCCAGAGCAGGAGAGCACAGCAGCCCCCUUUCCACGGUCCAUGUGAUGUGCCAAGAGCUCAGCGAUAACUGUCAUUAGUGUGGUUUUCUUAUGGAGCUUCUCACAGCUUGCUGUUCCCCUGGGCGUUAUAUGUACAUAUAUAGAACCCGCAUAUACGGCACAUCAGGGUGAAGGUCAGAAUGACUGUCCUUUCUCUACCUUAAGUAGUAGUCUUUAUAUACUACUCACUGGGCAUCCCUACAACCUUUGAGUGUGCGCAUAACAUUCUGUUGCUGGGCAUUGAUGGUGGUGUAUACAAUCAGACCCACAGUCCAGACCUGUAAGAAUCAGCGAGACCUUCUAGUCUAGCUUUUCAUUUCCGAUGUGUAAAACUUAGUGGCAUUACCCCCAACUCAGCAAACCUGUGCAUCUAAAAAGGCGAAGCAAAGAACUCACCUAUUUGCCUGCCUUGAAUUACUUUUGGGCUCAGUGGUGAAGCAGAUCAACUCCUUGAUUUUUAUUAAUCCUGUUUUACUUAUUCCAGAAAGUACAACAAUAUUUAGUGUUUCAUAUAUGUCUGGUGUGUCUGAAUUUAUGAAGAUUUGGAUAUCAGCAAACAGAGAGACCAAGUAGCUUGUCCAUAGUAACAUGUAAAAUCACACGGCUGAUGUGCAUGUAUGUGUGUGCACUUGUGUGUUCAUUUGUGAGGACAUGUGUAUGUGUGCAUGUGCAUAUACACCUAUGUGUAUGUGUACGGAUGUGCAUGUCUGCAUGUGUAUAUCUAUAUAUGUAUGUAAGUGUAUGUGUGUGUGUAGACUCUAACCCAGAGAGUCUGGCUUUAUCCAUCUUCCCCUUAGCCAUGCUCUACACCAUCUUUGUCAAUCAUCUGGUUAUACCCAUAGCUCUGUACUGAGGCUGUCUCCCUAAGGAGAAUAACUUCCUGCCUUUUACCUUACAUCUCAUUACUUUCCUUUAUUAAUAAAUAAGUAACUUUCUUUUAUUAAAUUCAAAAGUCCUAUUGAUUUUGACAUCAAUUACAGCUGUGUGAGGUAGAUAGUGGGGGGUGGAAUGCUUUGAGUCAUCCAGUUAUACAUUUAUUUAAUAAAUAUUUGAGGACUGGCUGCUCUGUUAGAGGACUAAGAUGACUGGUGAAUCAGGUCCAGCCUCUCUGUCCUCACUGGCAUGUCAGGGACCUUGUUGGGUGGAGGCAUCACAUUAGGAAGACUACUCAGUAGGGACCAAUACAAGGUGUUCCUUCUCCCUGUAGACCAGGGUCUAUAAAAUGGAGCUGCCAGAGUGCCAAAGAAACCUGCUGUCUGUUUAUAUAUAACCUCUCAAGGUAAGAAUGUGGCUUAUAUUUUCAAAGGUCUGGAAAGAAAGAAAAAAAAUGAAGAAUAUACAGUAGAGACCUCACACAACCCUGCUAAGCUGGCAGCCUUUGCUUUUCUGUCCCUUACAGGAAAAGCUUGCUUACCUCUGCGAUAGGGCACAGAAAGGCUUGGGAAGAAAGUCUGGUUAGGACAAGAUUAUCUCUUAUGUCAGUCUCUGGAAGGCAGUGUUUGGACUCUAGCUACAGGGCUGGCCCUGGUGCCGGAGGCUCUCUCCUGGAAUCCCUGCAACAUCUCCUCUGUGAGAGGGCAGGUGCUUAGUAGUCAUGUGAAGACCGAUUGGAAAGAUGGGUGCUGUCUCUUCAUCACUGUGGUAGGAAGAUGAUGGACGGUUGAUAGCGCAAUGUGGUUUGUAAGCUCUAUGGAAGUUGGAUUUGCCUGCAGCACUAAGCAGCUGUUCUUCCUGCCACGAGUAUCCUGACAGUUAGUGCCUUUGAGAGGCAGCCAAAGUCUAAGGUGGGAUGAGCAUGGUGAGCCGGGAUACUGGAUCUUGUUCCAGCUUUCUCAGUGAUGUGCAGAUGACCUUGAGUGUGCCAGACGCUUCUCAUGCUCUGGUGCUACUGGCUGUGCCAGGGUGACCCACUUCUGGUGGUGACCAGCUCCUACCACUUUGCAGUGCCUGGUAUUUCUUGGAGAUGUUGUCCAGCACACUGGGGGUCAGCUAAGAAACUGUGCCAAGAGCAGGUUGACAGAGAAGGAAGCAGAGGGGGAUAAGAGAAAGGAAGCAGGCUGGAGGGGUUAAGAGCCAGGACUGCUCUUGCUAAGGGCCUGGGUUCAGUUCCCAGAACUCAUGCUGGCGGCUCACAAUCUAUAACUCCAACUCCAGGGGGAUCUGCUGCCUCUGGCCUCCAAGGGCACCUACAUGCAUGUGCAGAUAUCCAUGCACAGACACUGACAAAUAUAUGAUUAAAACGUGUGUGUGUGCGCGCGUGUGUGUGUAUGUGCGUGCGUGUGUAUGUGCGUGUGUGUGUGUGUGUGUGUGUGUGUGUGUGUGUGUGUGUGUGUGUGUGUGUGUGUGAAGAGAUAGGGUAAGGGAGCUCUCUUUCUGUAUCUACUUGACUUUUGAACCCAGAUAAGCUUAUCAUUUCUGGGUCUUAACACCAUAGUUCCUGCUAAGAUCAGCCAUAUCCAUGAUGAAGCUUUAGCAAGUAGCCUGCUUAUAGUUCACUUGGCUUUCUUCUUUGGUUCAAGAUAUACUCUGGCUCUUAUCGUCAGGUUUUCAUGAUGGAACCCCAUUUUGGCCUGACUCUGACAGGCAGUGGCUAGGCAGAGGGCCUGAAACCUGGACCCACCCUGAAGGCAGGGCGAUUCCCACUCAGCCCAUGACAGCUAUAUCCCAUACUUUGAGACUGGCCAGUGUAAAUGGUAUUCAGGGUUUUUGGAGAAUCAGGCUGGGGUCUGCCUGGGUGGGAAGUUGAACUGCAUAAUUCUGUAUUUUUCUGUUUUGGCCAUGGACUGUGGAACCCAGUUGCCAGCUAUAGUCCCAGGAGUGGGGAGAGAAAGGGUAGAGGACCAGACCUGGAUGCCCUGGCGCCCUUGUACAGAGGACCAGACCUGGAUGCCCUGGUGCCCUUGUACAGAGGACCAAAUCUGGGUGCUCUGGUGUCCUUGCAUCCUCAAAGCCUUGUUAGUUUACUUGUCAGCUCUCAUUCAUUCAUUCAUUCAUUCACUUUGCAGUUCUGGGGACUACACCCAGGAUGUGUUACGAACAUGUUCUACACAGUUACACUGUGCCCUAUUUGUCAACUCUUUCAGGUCUGUCUGUGAGCAUAAAAGUCUGUAUUAUUUUAUUUUAAACUGACUGACUUUGUCAAAUCCUGAGUCACAUAUAAGGAACAAGCGACAAUGGUGGUGGUCUAGGCAGAGCUGUUGCUCUCUGUCCUCCUUGGCAUGGUUGCCACUUCCAUUCUUAUCCCCGUGAAACCACCGAACCACGCUGCUUUUCCCACCUAGUCACAAACGAGGUUCAUCAGGGCUCCCCACUCAGUUCUUACUUUGCCUUCAGAUGAUUCUCACCUCUGCAGCACACUCCACAUGAUCUCCACAAGUCACUUCUAGGAGGACCCAGCUCUGAGCUGCCCUUCCUUAAAGUCAACCAGAGGCACUGAAAACAUCACAGCCAGAGUUCUCUGCAUCUCUCACCUCUCCUCUCAUCUGGCAGCUCUUCAGAGCAUCUUGAGAGAAGACUGGGAGAAGGGAUGAGUGCACUCUGUAAGCCACAGGGUUUAGAGGUCCACCCUAAGCUACCCAUGCAAGGCUGCUAAAGAUGCUGACUGCGUCUCAGGGAGGCCUGCAGGUGACUCUAGCUCACUUGAGGUGCCCAUUGGUGGUUCAGAUCUCUCUGACCCUGCAGUUACAACCCACCGCCGUCCCAGUCUUUGUUCAGUCCGGAAGCUGUUAGGCUUCUGAGUGAGAGACAGCACCACAAAGGAGAGUGGGAGCUUUAAGAGCUGCUGCAGAAUGUGGACUGAGAAAUAUUUUACCCAAAUAUCUACACUGAAAAGUCGUUCACUAAUGUUUAAGUAGCCAUAUCCAGCAAUUGAAUAAUUUGUACAUUUUGUGAUGUCUUUGGCCACUCCAGCCUCAAGUCCUGAUAGGAAGCACCAAGUUCAAGUUAAUCUCUGCCGAGCUUCUCUUGGGUCUCAGGGUUGGUAGCUCUUGGCAGGCAAGAGGCUUCUUACAACAUGGCUACAUGGACCAGGCCAAAGGAGUGUCAGAGACAGCUGGUGCUAGAGCAUGAACUCUUGGGUGAGGAUCAUUGUUCAGUCUUGGCUGCUACAGCAGUUUGCAAUCUGGGCCCCACACUCCUUAGAUUGUGUUUCUUAUCCAGAGUCUGAUCAAGGACCCACUAUUCGUAUCUGCCUGCAGAUAACUGCAGUUGAAGCACGGUGAAUUCCUCUCUGCUGGCCUCUGUGUAAGAGGUCACAUAUCUGUGGAAUAAUUAGAGCACCUCUCCAAAGCUGCAGGCUGCUCUGUGCUCCCUUUCUCUGGGGACUUUUAGAAUAUGGUGCAAAGUCUUUUGGAUCUUUGUUUUCUUCCAGAAAACUGUCAGAUUCCUUGAGACUGGAAUUACAGAUGGUUUUGAGCCACCAUGUGGGUACUGGGAUUCAAACCCAAGUCCUUUGGGAGAAUAGCCAGUGUACCUGCUGAGCCAUCUUUUCAGCCCUCUUUUUUUUUUCUUGUAAGAAGUGGGAUAGUUGAGUGCCUGAGUCUUUGCAAUUCUCCCGCUGUCCCAGCCCACACAGCAUGUACCUAAGUGUAAAUUCCCUCCCCUCUGAAGAACCUGCUCCUAGAGCCACAGAGAAGAAGGAAGCCGAUUGGAAGAAAGGAUAGAGAACCAUCUUCUGCAAUUCUCAGGCUAAGAGGCAGGGUUCUCAAAGGAAGAGCUUGGGGAGCCUGAGAGGAAGACAGGUCUCAGAGCAGAGAAAAAUGUAAAGCUAGAGAUACAGAAGACAUCUAUUGGCAUCUCAUCCUUCCCCCAGUGUGGAUUUGAGAUGGGUGAUUUGAGGUAGUUUUCAGAAGUUUGUAACUCAGAAGUUCAUCUUAGGUUUUAUCAAAGGCCAUGGCAUCUGACUGACUGAAAUCAGAUCUUAUGAUUAUAAGUUUGAAGGCCACUGGAUUGAGCUAAGAAGACAAUUUCUUCAUCUCAGUUUGAUAUAUAAGGGACCCUAGUCUACAAAAUAUUAUAUGCUGUGUUCAUGAUCACACAUCCAAAUUAAUUGGAAAGGCCGGAAAUAUUGGGUAAAUUUACAUACCAUGAAAUGAAUAGAGCUUAAAGUACACUUUUCAGGUAGAUUCUGACAAACCUGUGCACCCAGGCAACUCAUACUGCCAUUGGUGAAUGAGAAAUACAAUCAUUCCCUUGGGUACAUGUGCACAGUCAUGGAGGGCACAGAUCCCAGUGAGAGCACAGCUUCCAUCAGAGAAGAACUUCAUCCUUCAGCUUGUCCCACCCUGAAGCAGGAAAGAAAUACCUCCCCCCUUGCCUUUCCUUUUAUGCCCCAUUACCAACACCUGAAUUAUUCUUUCAAAUGGGUUUUGAUUUCUGUCUGGUUCAGGCAGAGUUGUCUAGGAAACCAGAAAUAUCUACAGACUGCAAGCCACACAGAUUGAGUGAUCCUUGGCUCCUCUCUUCAGAGCCACAGCGACUCCUGCCAUGUUUUUACUGCUAUCCUUUGCUGUGGCUUCUUCAUGCUCUGGGCCUUGUGCCAUGGCAGCCACCCUUCCACCUUGCCCAGUUUCCUUUCUGCCCUCCAGUUCCCGUGCCAUGGAGCAGUGUCUAAUGACAGCUGAGGCUGAAGUGACAUGUGCACAGCUGCUUCUGUGUCUGGGAUGCCCGUGAGAGCUGAGGAGGGGCGCUUGGGAGUUGUUCCACUUGGCUCAUCCUGUUUUCCAGGAACUGGAGGGGUUGCCUUUUCCACUGCUCAGAUCAGUCCAUCCUAGGCUCUGCCUUUCUCUCUCACCUCCUUCUCCUCAUUUCCACCAUCGUUUCCUUCCCUCCCAUCAUCCAGUGUAGCUGCAGCUGUGAACACUGUUUUGGUGGCUCCCAAAGGGAGCCUGCUUAUCUUCCCUCUGUACCUGCACAAGGAGAAAUCAGAUCUCUACGGGGCAGUGCAAUGAGGGGCUCUCUGUCACAGAGGAUCAUUGUCUGAUUCUCUUGGCUAGCUGCUAAAACUCAAGCCCUCUUGACUUGCCCUUCGGGGGCAUUUGCACAGUAAUCAACCAGUCUUCUUAGGAACCUGUGAUUCCCUCGACUCUUUCAUUCUGUGGUUCUCUCUGGGAUGCCCCAGCAUUCCUAAAGAAACCAGGGGUGGGGGAUGCUGAUAGUCAGGAAGAGAUGGGAGGAGAAGGAUGCAUGCUGGGAAGUUAGCAGUGCCUGUGGGGGCUGCGGGAGGACCUGGCAAAGGGCAGGAGGAACGGGAAGCGCGAUGCCUUGAACAUCAUGUGGAAGCUCAUCCUUGUGUGUGAAAAUGAGCAACGUUUAUGUAUGGCACUUCAGUGGAAGAAAGUACCAGAAUUUCAUGCUUUUGGGUAGCCCUCUCCUGGUCUCUCAACCUGGUCUGAUAGGCUCUUGAGGAGAAGGGAGAACAAGGGAAGAAGGUGGGAGAGCAAGGGAGGGAGGAGGGAGAUUAAUUGGUUGUGUAGACAGACAGCUGUUCACUGAUGUUGGCUAAAACAUUGCUGGAGUUAAUUCUCCUUUGAACAGUUUGGAAGCACUGUUCAUUUCCCUCCCCCUGCAGUAAAUGCCUGCCUUUGGGAUGCUCUUGUCUUUCUUUUUAAGAUUUCUUUGUUUUUAUUUUAUGUAUAUAGGUGUUUUGCCUGCAUGCAUGUCUGUGCACCAUGUGAGUGCUUACUGCUCACAGGCAUCAGAAGAAGGCAGCCGGUCCUCUGAACUGGUGUUACAGACAGUUGUGAGCCUCCAUGUGGGUCAGCACAUGGUCUUAACUGCUAAGUCAUCUCUCCAGCCCCACACUACUCUAACUGCCCUGCUCUGAACUCAUUACUUCUUCCUCCCAGGGUACCAACCUGUGUCUUUAUGCCUCCCAUGGCUACAUCCACCACAUUUCAAAAUAUAUACUUAAUCCCCUUAUGGAAUUCAUCUCCAAGCACAAUAGAUACUGACUUUGUGGUGACUUUUAGAUCUAGUUCUCAGGAGCAGGUCUGGUGUCUUUGGACAAGCCUUGUGGCUGCUAACCUGGGCUCUCUACAAGGCUCUGUUUUUUCUUCGGUCUCAUAUGCAUUUCUACUGAAAACUGAAGUCUUUAGAGGUUCCCUUUGAUUAUGUUAAUCUGCUGUUCACAAGUCUCUAAAUUGUUCCCUUCUGUUUAUUGGAUGGACCUCAAAGUCUCUGUGUGGGAUUCAGACCUCUCUGAAAUCUGGCCUUUUUCCUCCCUAGCCAGUGCUCUUGGCUUCUGCCUGCCUCACAAGCCUUCUUCCCCAGGCAACAAUGUAGUGGUCUGUGAGAGACCAUGAGCCCUCCUCCUGCUCCUCUCAGGGUUCCCCAGCCACAUGCAUACAUUUCCUUACCAUUUGAGGUUAAACUUAAUCCAUUUAAGUUACCUUCUUCUGAACAAAUGGUAGCUGCCCGUCCCAGCCUCUGGAGGCACUCACAGAUGGGAUCUCCAGCCUUCAGUGUCAUCUCCUUGGUUACAUCAUAUACCCUUGGAGUAGGGCAACCAGGCCUUGCAAUGUUCAGUCCCAGUAGUAGGCAUAGGUUUCCCCAGCCCCUUUGAAGAGACCUGAAGUGGACUGCUCAGGCAAGUAGCAAAGUGAUUAUGUAGGUCCUCUGACUGAUUUCUUUGGUGUCACUAGUGUGCCUGCAGCGGAGGUUCUCACGUAGAACAGCAGGCUAUGCAUGGCAUGUGGCUCCCCGCCCCAUGCAUGAAGCCAGUUCUCUGGGGCUUGUAGGCAGGCCUCUGUCUCCAGAGAAGAUUCCUGGUUUUAUUCCCGCUGCCAUGCAUCCAUCUCUGCCUCCACGUGACCUCACGUCCCGCUGAAGCUGUUCCUCGUGCUUUAUUUGGCUGCCCUGCUCUGUCAGCUCAGGUGUGUGUGGUUAAGGUAUGUCCCUGGAGGGAUGGUCAGGUUGCAUGCAAGUGACUUUUCCCUACGAAGCAUAACUUGAGAGAUUCCUUUUGAGACACAAGUUCAUACGAGGAAUAAGACAGGUGAAAAACUUUUCAAAGUCCCUGGUAAUUAAAUAAAAGUGAAGUCAAAGCAAGGACAUGAUGUAGUUUCCCCAACAAAUUCGCCAAGACCCUUAAGAGGUUGGAACUUGGGGCUGGUGAGAUGGCUCAGCAGGUAAGAGCACCCGACUGCUCUUCCGAAGGUCCGGAGUUCAAAUCCCAGCAACCACAUGGUGGCUCACAACCAUCUGUAACAAGAUCUGACUCCCUCUUCUGGAGUGUCUGAAGACAGCUACAGUGUACUUACAUAUAAUAAAUAAUAAAUAAAUCUUUAAAAACAAAAAAGAGGUUGGAACUCAGCUGUAGGCAGAGACUGGGAAGUGGGCUUACACCCGUUUGCAGAUGGAUAUUUGGCUAUGUGUGUUAAAAGCCUUAAAAAAAAAAUCCUGUCCCUGUCCCUUUUGGAUUGGCAAUGUCAAAUCUAUUUUGUUUUAAGAAAAUCAUUGUAUUUCGAAGGUCUGGACUCAGUGACAGAAUGCUUACACAAUAUGCCCAAAGCCUAGGUUCCAUCUUCAGUAUGGGGGGUGGGGUGGGAGUUGAAUAUCAAAGAAAUAAUGGUGUUUAUGUAGAAAGGAUUUAGGUAGUUGGAGAUUUUCUAGUGCAAAUGUUUAUGUAAAUAGAGCACAAGGAGCAGUCAAGUCCCUAACAGUGGGGACUGGUUAAGACAGUGGCACUGGACAUAGACUUUUCUUGGGCCUUUUGCAUCCUUUGCAUCCGUUUCCUCAUCUCUGCUGUAGGGUAGGCCUGCCAGCUUGACAGUUUCAUGGGUGAAAUGAUGGGAACCUCCCCUAGGCCUUCACUCAAACUGAUGGGACAGGGGACCUAACCUAGGCAGUGUCUCUCCCAAGCUGAAGCCUGUGUUUCACAGCCUCCCACGACAGACACCAGACUAUGCUCUAUGCAGCAGGAUCCCAUGUUGGUGCAAAGCGCUGAAGAUUCGCAGAUUACACACAAUGCUGCUUUUACAGUGUGAGAAAAUUAGUUAAAAAGCUCAUAACUAAACAAAAAUUACAUCUGUUUAUUUAGUGUGCAUGUGCAUGCAUGUGCGCGCGCGCGUGUGUGUGUGUGUGUAUGUGUGUACAUGUGCAUAUGCACGAGACAUAGAAAACGUGGAAGUCAGAGGUAAACUUGCAGGGGUGGUUUCUCUCUUUCUGCCUAUCAUAUGGGUUCUGUGAUUGAAUCCUGGCCAUCAGGCUUGGUCUGAAGUCUUACUCACCGAGCUAACUUAAUGGACCCCAUGCUUAAUAUUUAUUCAGAUUCUCAGUUUUGAUAGUCAUUCUCUUUUAAUUCACCAUUUCCCUGAUUUUCCUUGUACUCUUUCUUUCAGUGAGCAAAGCAAUUAUUCUGAGCCAGCAUCGUGGAAAUCUGGCUAAGCCUGGCUUCCAUGAGCUUUCACAUGCUGGGGAAGGCCAAUGACAGGACACCAGUUGUGGGUAUUGACUAUAGGCUGGCUAUAUUUUGAGCUCAUGUUGAUAUUUCAUAUGUUUUCUCUUUAUAAUUUUUAAAAACACUGGUAAGAAAGUAGCCUUAAUCUCCAGAGUGCCAGCCAGUAGCAGCAGAUCUAAGACUUGACUGGGCUAGGGACCUCAGAAGCAGAUUCCAAUAUGGCUUAGUAGGCGCUGCUCUCAGGUGAGCAGUGUGUGAAGGAAGCACACAGAAGGUUCCCUCGCUGCCUCGGGGAGGUUGACUGUUUGCUACAACACAGAAAACUAAACUCAGCCUUAAGCUCUGGUCUUCUAGAUAGAGGGGCAGGCAGGAGGAGUAGCAGGGAGACGUGGCAUCGAACCCCAUUCUGUCUUCUUUAUGUGUGAUUUCAAGCAAAUCACUUUUCUCAGGCCCCUCACUGGCAGAGCAGGCAUAAGGGCACCCAUACUGGGAGUGUGAUGUCAAAGUGCAAUAAUAUAUAUAACGCUUGGAACUCAGUGAGUCUUUCUGUGUAUCACGUCCUUCCCAGGUCCCUGGAGAAACUCCAAGCUAGUUAGAACAGUCAAGAGCGGGUUUUGGAUGUACUUAAUUAAGCCGAGUCACACUUACAUGCAUUUGUUAAGGCAUUAUAUUUUUUAAUUUUUAUUUAUGUGUAUGUCCCUGCUUGUCUACAUGUGCACACAUGUGUGUAGUGUCCAUGGAGGCCAGAAGAGAGCAUCAGAUCCCCUGUAACUGGAGUUGCAGGCAGGUGUGAACUAUCCAGUGUGGGUUAUAGGAAUUGAACUUGGGUCCUCAGCAAGAGCAGCAAGUGCCCUUAACAGCUGAGCCAUCUCUUUAGCCCUUCUUUAAAUCAUUUAGAUUUAUUUCAUGUAAACCACAGCUCCCCUUCCUGAAGCUGUGUGGGCUCUUCAUAGCACACCACCCACACCAUCAGACCAGCUCUCUCCUCUCUGUAUUUGACCUUAAGUGCUACUGCAGUUGGACUGCUUCGGGAGGAGUAGCUCUCCUCUUCUGAGCACGGAGGGUUGCACUGGAUUGGAGCAGAGUAAGCAAAGAGGCUAAGACCUUGGUUCAGGGACCACCUGUGACCAGGGAGUGAGGCUUCCUGUGGUGGGGGAGGAAGACUGGGUGGCUGGUUUGGAGGCCAGCAUCUGGGUCAGGAGGGAGGACUGAGCUAAGUAGAACUCAGCAGAUUCCUUGGCAUGCACUGCAGGAGGAUUCCCUGAAGGGCUGCACAGAAAAAUGUGCUGUGUGCUUAGCAGGCCAGAAACCACAGAGACCCUAGCCAGGCUCUUGGAGCAUUUGGGAGCAGAAAAGCAGACUCCCCAGGUGGCUAUUUAUAGAGCCGGCAGCAGUAAUGAUCAGUUAGAAAAAUAAAUUAUAACUCAGUUGAACCUGAAAUAGCUUUGCUUUUGCAACCUUAGGCUUUCCGAAUGGGUCGCUCAGAUGUCAGUCCCUCCCAGUGGUGUUCCUGCAGGCUGAGGAGCAGUCUCAUACCAGGCUCACACAUGCCCACCCAGAGCUUCAGAGGCAACUGAGAGGGAGCUUUUGGCAAGAGCCAGGGAGCAUCCUGUCCAGAUGAUUCUUUUCUUUCCCCCAUGGAAUCCACAAAAUGGUGCUGUGUUCCCUCCUUCCAAUCAGCAUGCAUCGAUCAGGAAGCAUGUGUUAGUCUGUUUUCUUUUCUUUUUUAUUGAAUAUUUUAUUUAUUUACAUUUCAAAUGUUAUCCCCUUCCCCAGUUUCCCCUCCACAAAUCCCCUAUCUCAUCCCCCCUCCCAGUCCAUUUUCUAUUGUUGUAGUAAAACACAAAAGCAACAUACAGAAGGGCAGGUUUUUUUGGUCUCACCAUUCCAGAGGGAUGUGUCUGUCAAGGUUGGGAGGCAUGGUGGCAAGCAGGGAUGGGAGCUGAGAGAUUACAUCUUUAACUACAAGCAAGAAGCAAAGGGAGCAAACUGGAUGGGAGACAAGGCUAUAUGUUCUCAAAACCCUCUCCCCAUGACAUACUUCCUGCAGCAAGGCCACACCUUUCAAACCUCCCUAAAUAGCACACCACCUAGGGAUCAAGUGUUUAGAUAUAUGAGCCUCUGGGGGUACAUUUCUCAUUCAUGUCACCAUGAAGCAUAGGUAGACCUUGAAGGGAUGGAGACCCAUUGCAUGCCAAGCACCAGCUUGCGGUCAGUACUGUCUUGGCUGCAGACAGAGAUUCUGAUGGAGAUAGCCUCAGCCAAGCUGGUGGCUGACUCCUUUACAGAUCUUGUCUUCCAUCCUUCCCUCUGCCAACAAGCAAGACCCUGUGAUAUUCACAUUGACAGCCUGGCAGAAGGGUCACCUUGAGCUUGCCCAGUCCGCUGCUUGGGGUCUUGACACUUGGGCAUCCAUCUGGCUUCCCCUCUCCUACCCAUCUGUUCCUUUUUCUCAUUCAUUCAUUCAUUCAUUCAUUCAUUCGCUUUCCAAUCAGCAAGCAUUUAUUUAUUCAGUGUCUAUGACACACCAGAUACUGAUGCUACAAGAAUCAAAGCUGUUAUCUAGAUAUUAUAAAUGAUUAGCCUAUAAGUCCAUUGUGGCUAUAGCUACACUGUAUUUGGAUCUCAACACAGUGUCUUAAGUUUGUGUGCUCUGAUACAUAAAGCCCAACUGAUUUCUUAUGAGAAAGCAGACAUCCAACUUCUGCACGAGCAACUGAAGUUCUGGCCCUGUAAGCCAGGCCAUACAUGGUAGCAUUCUCUAGACAGGCUACUAGCCCAUUAGGUCAGCCCAGCUCCUCUGAUUCAUUUCAGUUCCCAUGUCUUUUUAGUCUUAGGUCAACAGCAGGACAGCCAUUACUCCUGUCUCACAAAUGCACUGUUUCCUCCUGCAUGUCACUUCCUGGCCAUGUGAUAACUUGAUGUUGAAUCCAAAUGUGGUUGGUUCCUAGGCCAAGUCUCAUGGUCUGGGGGGGAGGCAGGACCAGCAAUCAGCCACUGUGUGAAAGGCGCUACAAGAGUGGCAGCCAUUGGGAAUACAGGGGGUGGAAUGCUUGCUGGCUUUGAUAUAAGAGUCUGAUUUGACAGUUGAGUGAGCAUAUGGUAAGAAGUUGCUGAGAGAGCCUUUCUGGACCAAGCAGUAGGCAUGCUCAGGAGUUCUGAUGAAUCCUGAAGACAGAGUCAAACAAACUCUAGCAAAGGUCAAAGUAAAAGAGUCCCACUGAUGGGAUUUCAGACCAACUCUGCCCAACCUCAGACCUGUAGGCAGGCCCUGGCCAUAUCUGCCAAUAGCCGCCUAAAGUAUCUGCAGCCAGUGGUUCUCCUUGCUCCUCCCACAGUGUGGUAUGCGUGCUUCCCAGUCCUUCAUCUUCCCUUCUAACCUCUUUCUUGUUUCAUCUCUGAGGCCAGUGGUCCCCGGAGUGUGAGAUGCUUUGGUCUUCUCCCUUGGUGUGCACAUGUUCACUAUCAUCUACAGGCAGAUGUCAAACGUUUCCUCAGCUGACAUCAUCAGCCCGGAGGCAGCUGAGAUGCAGUUGAGGCCCCAGGCAACUUGUGGAGGAUUUGUCUUAGGGAGCUCACAGGUGCCUUGGACUCCAGCUAUGGCUGCAGCCAGCCUCUCCUGCACCCCAUCAGCUCACCCUCCUCCCUUCUUUAUCCUUUUCACUCACGGCCUCUCUCCUGAAUGUUGAAAUCCUUCCAUUCUUUAGCCCUUAGUGUUAGUUCCCUGAAGCCUUCCUGACUCAGGAGGCCACCAACACCCAUUACAUCAUAAGUAACAUUUCCAGAAAACUGAGAGCUCACCCAUGCUCCAGAUGUCCUGUGAACAUAGCAGGGCAGAGCCCUGUGAAGAAGGUGGCCUUGCUCAGUCCCUCACUCUGCUCUCCAUGUGAUCCAUCAUGGAUGCUUUUUAAAAAAAUUAUUAUUAUUGCAAUUAUCUCUGACACCCCACUCAUGAUGGUGGUGUGAGAUUAUCUGUUCCCAGCCUGACUGUAGGUUGGUUUAUGACAGGAACUGGCUACUGCAUAGUGUCUUCCUGAGAAUGAAGCAUAGUUCCACAUAUGCUCUCAGCUGUCAAUGACUAACAGCCAAUGGCUGUAUUGAAUGAUACUCUAAUGGAGAGGGUAAUGUUACUCUUUGCAUGAGACAUGCCAUUAAAGUUGCCACCCAGGAAAAAGUGACAGUGGUUUGGGAGUGAUUGAGUCAGAGGAAAGGAUGUCAUCUACAACAUGAAGUUGUCUUUUAGCCACUACCAUUGGUAAGGGAUACCUGAAGAAGAGGAAAGAGCACAGAUCGUGUCUUAAGGCAGUGUAGCUGUCACCGGAUCCAGUGAUAAGAGUGCACCUGGCUCUUCUACAGUUUCUGUCUGUAGGACUUGGAGAUCUAGAAACUUUGGGCAGGAAGUAGAGGAUGCGUGGCUUGUCUCCACAGCUCACAGUUCAGGUUCUGCUGACUGUACCUAGCUUUCCUUUGUGGCCCCCAUGGUGGCCUUCUCCUGGGAGUCUAGGUGUGGUUUUGCUUGUGAUCAUUGUGCUAGCUCCAAAUGUCCAGUGUUCCACCCUGGACUGCUGCUUCUGGGCUGGAGUGUCUCCACGGCUGGUGCUGAGGGCUCAGCAAGACCAAGAGAGUCAUUUGCAGAACAGGACUGAUAGAGUUUCAUGCCUGAGAUGUGACUUCUGCCCAGAUCCUGAGAGAAUUCCGGGUUUUAAUAUAGUAACUCCAGUGGCAGGCUCUGCUCUUGCUGUAGUCUGAGCACUUGUGCCCAUGUUAACUCCUUUCUUCCUCACAGAUACAACCCAUCAGCCUUGGAUAUUCUCAGCCAUUCCCAUUAUAGAUGAAGAUUCAAAACCUCAGAGAGAUAAGUCUCUCUGAUUAACAUAGGGUUUGAAGCCAAUUCUUUUGCCCCUAAAGAAUUUCAUGAUUCUCUGUACUGGGUUGCCUUCUGGGCUCUCUGGCUAGGUAUCACCAGCAUCUCUCUUUCCAAAGGGAUUGAGCUAAGAACAGAUUUGGCACUUCAGUCCCAGGACUGUCUCUGCCUUCUAUUUCCUGUCACUGUGCCCUCCGACCUAAGGAUACCUCUCCACCUUUCACAUCCUUCUGAAGCCUCAGCUCCCGCUACCAAAGGGAGAGAAAAGGAGGGCAGGUCUCAGGUUCUGACUUUGGGAACUGUAUCGCACCUGGUGCCUAGGCCUCUUUCAGUCUGUACUUUCAUUAGUUCACUCAGUGGACUUGGUAGAGAGCCUGCUGUGGACCAGACACUGUUGAGUUACUGGGGCGACGGUGACGUUCUUGCACCUUGGAGCUCACUGGUGAGCACUGUGUGGAGAGAAGUGAGUGAGUAUAAAAAAUGUUUCAGUAGUGCUCAGGAGAUGACGACAAGACAGUAGACAAGGCAGGGAUGUGGCUACACGGGCAAGCAGGGAGCUGGUGAGAAGACGAAGUUAGGAGAGAAUUGAGGGGAAGUUCCUGCUUGUGGGGCACAGGGAACCUGGCAUGAGAAAGCUGGGAGCAGCAGUUUUCCAGGAAGAGGUGGCUAUCCAGGGCAAAGGGCCAAGUGGAGCUGCAGAACACAGUGCUGGGAAAUGAUAUUUGUCAUGGUGGUUAGGCUGGGCUGUCAUCGCCAUGGUUCAGCAAUCCUGUGCUUCCUGAGGAGUUAUCCGAGGUCUCUCCUCUGCCUUCUCCAAGUUGUGGCAUUUCUGAGAAGACCACGUCUGAGGUCUGGGCCCACAGUUGAACAAGUCAUGGUUGAUCUUGGAGCCCAGGCAUCGGCUCAGUCAUGGCUUGGCUCAGCAGGGAAUGCUUUGCAGAACACAGGGAGAGACAGCCCAAAUGCACCCAUCACAGACAUUCUUGACCCCACUGGCUCCAGCAAUGGCACGCAACAGGGAUUUCUCUAGGUCUCUGUGAUUUUUGAAAAUAGCUCUGGGACUUCUAGUUUGGAUUCUGCUCUUGGCUUGUUAGUUAAUUGUUUCUUUGAGCAAACACCUACUCUGGAUUUUUUAUUUUUGAUUAAUGAAUGAAUAAGUGAGUGAGUGAAUAUAUGAAGUAGGAAAUUCAAAGAACAUUAAGGUUUUCCUUGUUUUUUGUCUUAUAAUGAAUGUGUUACAUUGGUCAAAAGUUUUCUUUGUGUUGUAGUUUUUCCUGCCUCUCUUUUAGGUCCUGGUUGAUAAUAGACAGACAGGCAGAUAUUAGUGGUAGAUUUCAUGUUAAUAGGUGCUACCAUUUAACUCUCUUGGUACGGAUCUGAAGUGCUCAAAGCAUAGCAUCUGGACCACAGCCACUGUACCUGGUAACUGGUUAGAAAUGUACAUUUUCAGACCCACCAAACAAGGGUACUGGGACUAUAGUCAAAGAUUUGUUUUAAUAAGUCUUCCAGGUAGUUCAGAUGUAUGCUAAUGUCCAAGUUACUCAUACAGAGUGUGUGCUUUCAGCUGUGUUCUCUAGGAAUGGAUUCUUGCACUGCAGUUACUAUCAUAGUUGUGGCUCUCGAUUGUGCUUGUAAUGCGUUGAUCCAGCCUGGCAUGGCACAGUCCUUGGCUAUAAUGCAGAAGGGACAUGCCUGACCCAUCUGGGGUUGAUCCAGGUGGUGCUGUUUAAUGCCAUGUCCCACCCACUGGGCUACAUAUCUCUGGGGGAAUGGGCAUUCCAAGUGGGCAUCUGUUGGAGGGAAACCUUAGCAAGAGGAUGGCCCAUUCCAGGAGCUUUGUAGAAGUGCUGCUAGAUUUGUUUCCAUGGGGACUGCCAAAGCAGAUCAGCUCUUUGACUCUGGCUAGUUUUGAUGUGUUUUAAAGCAUGAGCCUGUCCCAGGAAGUGGAUCUGCUAGCACGCAUGUUAAUGAAGACCAAUGUGCUGAAAGAGCUCAAUGUUCCAUGAAAGUCUGGUGUCUCGGAUUUGGCCCUGCGUUGCCCACUCCUGCUGCGUCUUGUCCAGCGAGGGACAAAACACCCUGCCACCUGCCUGAAGAACAGGAAGAAAAGAAGUUACAGAGGCAGAUUCCAGUGCAUCCAGAGACCGAGAUGUUGACACUCAGAGGGAGCCGGGAUCUCCAAGACAUGUACUUCCAGAAGCCCCAGGAGAGCUGGACAAGAGGCACAGUGACCCAAGUAGUAGAAGUACAUCAGCACCCGGGCUGCCUACCCAAGACCCACCAAGUGGAGGAUAGCACAGCAGAAUCUCACUUUGCCAAACCUGGCACAAGAACCAGAGAAGCCGGAUCUGCAGCAUGUAUCCCAAAGCUACCAGAAAAAGUCAGAGAGGAUGGCAUGUUGACUUGUGAUCGGCUGUACCAGUAGUUAUUGUGAGAAGAGACCUCCUCCCCAUCAGAUUCCCUCACCUCUGGACAUUACUCUCCACCAUAAGCCUGGGGUCCUGCUUCAGCUGUCAGCCUUCCACUCAACCUUCCCUGUGAGGAAACGCCCCCUUUCUCCUCCGUAUUCUGGCAUUCUGGAUUUACUCGUUAUGCCCAGCACCGGUCACCUUAAAUAGAAGCACCCUGAGAUAUUCCUACUUCUCAGAAACUGCCAAAUGAAUGUCAUGACGUGGUCAGAGAGCUUCUCCUUCUCCCUGCCUCCCUCAUCCCAGUUGUGCCUUUGUCAGCGCCUGGUGUCUGGAUCGCAGGAAGAGGGAGAAGAUGCGGUUGGAGGCAGCAAUACCUUGAAGACCACCAACACUCAGCUCAUGUCCUGCCUUGUCUCCAACCCAUGAUUCAGUUCUGCCUCUUGUGUCUGUCCUAUCCUGGACAGUUGUACAUUACUUUUUUUCAAUUAAACAGAAUUUGGUUACUUUUUUAUUAUUGCCAA
Mus musculus (house mouse) is the source of this 24865-nucleotide RNA transcript. It is a transcript of the gene named human immunodeficiency virus type I enhancer binding protein 3, with no coding region annotated. NCBI's taxonomy places the organism in Eukaryota, Metazoa, Chordata, Mammalia, Rodentia, Muridae. The record is from RefSeq and is marked validated. The transcript has 3 exons.